AGCUUUGUGCAGUGUCAGGAUCAUAGCCAAUGAGGUUUAUCUGAGGCACGAUUAUUGCUAAUUGAAAAUUUUGUGAAACUGUCCUUAUUCUCACCUGUAUCCCUUAUUGUUCGCCUUUUUAUUUUAUUUAUUUUUAAGAGAGA
RNAcentral lists this small nuclear RNA (143 nucleotides) under Tupaia belangeri chinensis (Chinese tree shrew). Its description in RNAcentral is "Tupaia chinensis (Chinese tree shrew) U4 spliceosomal RNA". It matches the Rfam family "U4 spliceosomal RNA". From Rfam's summary of the family: U4 small nuclear RNA (U4 snRNA) is a component of the major U2-dependent spliceosome. The structure of U4 snRNA from yeast and human has been reported. U4 snRNA presents a k-turn RNA motif in the 5p-SL related to recognition of Snu13 protein. Lineage: Eukaryota; Metazoa; Chordata; Mammalia; Scandentia; Tupaiidae. The record is from Rfam by way of RNAcentral.